This 463-nucleotide ribosomal RNA is filed under the name uncultured bacterium. RNAcentral's name for it is "bacterial SSU rRNA". It matches the Rfam family "Bacterial small subunit ribosomal RNA", at positions 8 to 507 of the family's 1533-position model. The record is from RNAcentral.
AGAGUUUGAUCAUGGCUCAGGAUGAAUGCUGGCGGCGUGCCUAAUACAUGCAAGUCGAGCGGUAAGGCCCUUCGGGGUACACGAGCGGCGGACGGCUGAGUAACGCGUGGGAACAUGCCCCAAAGUGAGGGAUAACGCACCGAAAGGUGUGCUAAUACCGCAUAUGGUCUUCGGAUUAAAGGAUUUAUCCGCUUUGGGAGUGGCCCGCGUACGAUUAGAUUGUUGGUGAGGUAACGGCUCACCAAGUCGACGAUCGUUAACUGGUCUGAGAGGAUGAUCAGUCAGACUGGAACUGAGACACGGUCCAGACUCCUACGGGAGGCAGCAGUAAGGAAUCUUCCACAAUGGGCGAAAGCCUGAUGGAGCAACGCCGCGUGCAGGAUGAAGGCCCUCGGGUCGUAAACUGCUUUUAUGAGUGAAGAAUAUGACGGUAACUCAUGAAUAAGCACCGGCUAACUACGUG